RNAcentral lists this ribosomal RNA (2841 nucleotides) under Triticum aestivum (bread wheat). Its description in RNAcentral is "partial small subunit ribosomal RNA". The record is from RNAcentral. Lineage: Eukaryota; Viridiplantae; Streptophyta; Magnoliopsida; Poales; Poaceae.
AUGGAGAUCACAAGUAGAGUCAUCAUGUUCCUCUUGCUGCCAAUCAACCUUGCUGUCGCCCAAAAUACUUCUAGAGAAGACGCAAAGGAACUCCAUGUUGGGGUUAUCCUUGACUUGGGGUCCAUUGUUGGCAAAAUGGCACGGACCAGCAUUUCACUAGCUAUGGAGGACUUCUAUGCUGUUCAUCAGAACUAUAGCACCAAGCUAGUCCUACACACCAGAGAUUCCAUGAGAGAUGAUGUCCGAGCUGCAUCUCAAGUUAUUAGCCUGUUGGAAAAUUACAAUGUGGAAGCCAUCAUUGGCCCUCAGAGAUCUUCGCAAGCCAUAUUUAUCUCGAAACUGGGAAAUAAAGGUCAUGUCCCGGUCAUAUCCUUCACGGCAACAAACCCAGCUCUAGCGUCUGGAAGUCUUCCAUAUUUUGUGCGUGCAACACUGAGUGACUCAGCACAGGUUAAUUGCAUUGCCUCCAUAGUUAAAGCCUAUGGGUGGAGAAAGGUGGUGACUGUAUAUGAAGACACCGACUAUGGGAGAGGCAUUAUACGAUACCUAGUUGAUGUCCUACAAGAAGUUGAUGCUCGUGUUCCCUACCAAAGCAUGAUCCCUCUGACAGCAACUAAUGAACAGAUUACCCUAGAACUCUAUAAGUUGAUGGCAAUGCAAACAACGGUCUUUGUUGUGCAUAUGUCAUUUACCUUAGCCUCGCUUGUCUUCAUCAAGGCAAAAGAAGUAGGGAUGAUGAACAAAGGAUAUGCAUGGAUCCUGACAGAUGGAGUAACCAAUCUCAUAGAAUCACUAAAUCCUUCUGUCCUAGAAUCACUGAAUGGUGCCAUAGGUGUUCAAGUUUAUGUUCCCAAAUCAAAGGAUCUCGAUGACUUCACCAUGAGAUGGAAUAUGAGGUUCCAAAUUGACAACCCAACUAAUAUACCAUCAAAAUUAAGCAUCUUUGGACUGUGGAGCUAUGAUACAAUCUGGGCAGUAGCACAGGCUGCAGAAAAAGUUGGACUUACAAAUGCCACAUUUAGAAAACCAGGUGUCACAAGAAACUCAACAAGCUUGGAAACCUUGGAAACGUCUAGUAAUGGUCCAGAACUAUUACAAGCAAUCCUGCAGAACAGAUUUAAAGGCCUUGGUGGCAAUUUUGACCUUUCAGAUAGGCAGCUGCAAAUUUCAACAUUUCGAAUAAUAAACGUGGUAGGAAAAGGAUGGAGGGAAAUUGGAUUCUGGACUGCACAAAAUGGAAUCUCACAACAAUUAAAUAAAACCACACCUGCAACAACAUUUCCGGGUUCAGCGUGGGAUCUUCAUCCUGUGAUCUGGCCAGGAGAGUCCAUAGAGGUACCCCGGGGUUAUGAAAUUCCUGUAAGCGGGAAGAAACUUCGAGUUGGUGUGUGCACAAGUGGAUAUCCGGAAUUUAUGAAGGUCGGAAAGGAUCAUAUAACAGGUGCAACUAAAGCAAGUGGUUUCUCAGUUGACGUAUUUGAAGAGACGGUUAAGAGACUUCCUUAUGCACUCCCUUACGAAUAUGUAAUAUUUAGUACUACGGAUGAUUCAAGUAGCGAAGAUUACAAUGAUUUUGUCUACCAAGUAUAUCUUAAGAUAUUUGAUAUAGUAAUUGGAGAUAUAACAAUAAGGUAUAAUCGAACUUUCUAUGUCGACUUCACUCUGCCAUACACAGAAACAGGAAUAGCAAUGGUUGUUCCAGUAAGGGAUAGCAUAAACAAGAACACAUGGAUUUUCUUGAAGCCACUAGCACCUGGCAUGUGGUUUGGAAGCGCUGUAUUCUUUAUCUACACAGGUGUGGUCGUAUUAAUAUUGGAAUUUCUAGGCAACAACGAGAAUAUUCGUGGGACAAUUCCCAGACAGCUGGGGAUUAUGAUCUUUUUCUCCAUAUUUGAAGGGAAAGAGCUUGUGCAACGCUUUCUAUCCCGGAUAGUUUUGAUCGUUUGGCUAGUUUUUCUCAUGGUACUUACAUCAAGUUACACUGCGAGCUUGACAUCAAUGCUAACUGUGCAGCAGCUUCAGCCAACAGUAACAGAUGUGCAUGAACUCCUAAAAAGUGGAGAAUGCGUAGGACAUCACCGUGGCUCUUACGUCAAGGGACUUUUAGAAGAACUCGGUUUUGACAGGUCAAAGAUCAAGUCGUAUGAUUCCCCUGAUGAUUUUCACAAAGCACUUUCCCUAGGAAGCAACAAUGGUGGUAUCGCUGCUCUUGUCCAUGAGGUUCCAUACAUUAAACUAUUUCUGGCAAACCACUGCAAAGGGUACACAAUGGUGGGACCAAUCUAUGAGGCUGCAGGUUUUGGAUAUGCAUUAGCAAAGGGAAAUCCCCUACUUGGCGACAUCUCAAAGGCAAUUCUCAACGUAACAGGGGGUGAUACUAUGAUUCAACUUGAGAAAAAGUGGAUUGGAGAUCAAAACAAUUGCCAGAAUGCAGGCCCUCUCACUGGUUCAAGCACACUCACCUUUGCAAAUUUCAGGGGAUUAUUCAUCCUUACUGGAGUUGCUUCAACUUCUUCCCUUUUGAUAGCAUUUAUAAUCCAUUUCUACAAAAAGAGGCACAACUUAACAAAGAUGCCAGAUCAUAAGGAUCAACCAGAAGAAAGUGGAACUAACGAUAAAAACAGUGAGCCCCAAGAAGGAAGUCAAGGAGGGACAGUUGAACAAAAUGAACAACGAGCAGGCAGAGAGGAAAAUGGCCAACUAGAAGAGCAAGCCAGUUUAGAACUGGUAUCUGACACAAAUUCACAGACAAGCAUCGGUAUGCCCAAGCAGCCAAACAAUGGGUCAAUUGUCAUCUUCAGGGGUGAAAGAACUACUGGCCUGCAAGUGGAACUUGUCUGA